UCAGAAGCAUUCGAAAAUUGUAAAAAUAACUUCCAGAGAUUCGAAUCUAAACGAGAAUUUUGCCCAUCUCUGCUCAGAAGGAAUCUCUUGUACGUGUACGCGGUGGUGGAUUCGACCGAUCGAGUAAGAAGUUCGCAAAGUUUGGUGCACGAGGAUGACAAUGAACAGAACGAUCCAAGGUGCCAAAACGCAAGCAUUCAAGAGACGAGCCACGUUAAAGGGGGAAGCCAGUGAUUCGCAUAAAUGUGUUCCUGGAUGAGCGUGCAUUUGUCUCCGAUUAAUUGGCAACAAAGUCCAUGAAAACGUAGAGAAGUCCAUCUGGAUAUUUGCCGGUAAAUUCGAUAGAACCAAUGAGUUCUUCCUUCGUAUGAUUCAGCCUAUGCAUGGUAGAUGAUGCAUACUACUACCCCCUUCCAAAACAUUUGUUAUCUAGAUAAACACGAGUGCCGCUAGAUUUUUAUACGAGAAUUUAAUAAACGAAUUUUUCGUAGA
Molecule: long non-coding RNA, 492 nt
Organism: Hylaeus anthracinus
Lineage: Eukaryota; Metazoa; Arthropoda; Insecta; Hymenoptera; Colletidae
Exons: 2
Source: RefSeq, a predicted model, not a curated record